UACGUAGGGGGCAAGCGUUGUCCGGAAUCAUUGGGCGUAAAGGGCGUGUAGGCGGCCCGAUAAGUCCGCUGUGAAAGUCCAGGGCUCAACCCUGGGAUGCCGGUGGAUACUGUCGGGCUCGAGUCCGGAAGAGGAGUGUGGAAUUCCUGGUGUAGCGGUGAAAUGCGCAGAUAUCAGGAGGAACACCAAUGGCGAAGGCAGCACUCUGGGACGUGACUGACGCUGAGACGCGAAAGCGUGGGGAGCAAACAGG
Molecule: ribosomal RNA, 253 nt
Filed under: uncultured bacterium
Lineage: Bacteria
Description: partial 16S ribosomal RNA
Rfam family: Bacterial small subunit ribosomal RNA
Source: RNAcentral